AUACGGAGGGGGCUAGCGUUGUUCGGAAUUACUGGGCGUAAAGCGCACGUAGGCGGAUUAAAAAGUUAGAAGUGAAAUCCCAGGGCUUAACCCUGGAACUGCCUUUAAAACUAGUAGUCUAGAGUUCGAGAGAGGUGAGUGGAAUUCCAAGUGUAGAGGUGAAAUUCGUAGAUAGUUGGAGGAACACCAGUGGCGAAGGCGGCUCACUGGCUCGAUACUGACGCUGAGGUGCGAAAGCGUGGGGAGCAAACAGGAGUAGAAGCCCCGGUAGUCC
Molecule: ribosomal RNA, 274 nt
Filed under: uncultured bacterium
Lineage: Bacteria
Description: partial 16S ribosomal RNA
Rfam family: Bacterial small subunit ribosomal RNA
Source: RNAcentral